This 492-nucleotide ribosomal RNA is filed under the name uncultured bacterium. Its description in RNAcentral is "partial 16S ribosomal RNA". It matches the Rfam family "Bacterial small subunit ribosomal RNA", at positions 29 to 507 of the family's 1533-position model. The record is from RNAcentral.
AGUGAACGCUGGCGGUAGGCCUAACACAUGCAAGUCGAACGGCAGCACAGUAAGAGCUUGCUCUUACGGGUGGCGAGUGGCGGACGGGUGAGGAAUACAUCGGAAUCUACUUUUUCGUGGGGGAUAACGUAGGGAAACUUACGCUAAUACCGCAUGCGACCUACGGGUGAAAGCAGGGGAUCUUCGGACCUUGCGCGAUCGAAUGAGCCGAUGUCGGAUUAGCUAGUUGGCGGGGUAAAGGCCCACCAAGGCGACGAUCCGUAGCUGGUCUGAGAGGAUGAUCAGCCACACUGGAACUGAGACACGGUCCAGACUCCUACGGGAGGCAGCAGUGGGGAAUAUUGGACAAUGGGCGCAAGCCUGAUCCAGCCAUACCGCGUGGGUGAAGAAGGCCUUCGGGUUGUAAAGCCCUUUUGUUGGGAUAGAAAAGCAGCAGGUUAAUACCCCGCUGUUCUGACGGUACCCAAAGAAUAAGCACCGGCUAACUUCGUG